GAGAAUUUGUCCCAUCUGCAUGCCGCGCCCGCACCCAACGCAACCCAAUCCCCUCGUCCCGCACGCCGUGCACACUUCGGUCCCCUCAUCCCGCACGAACCCUAGGAGAGAGAGAUAGGAUGAUGAGAGGGAGAGAAAGGGGAGAUGAGAGGAGAGGAAGGUCCGGCAGCGGACGGGAGAGGGUGACCGGCCGGCGUCGGCCUACACCGGCGAGGCGUCGGCCUGCGCCCCUCCUCGCGCACGAACCCUAGCUUGAGAGACAAAAUGAGGGGGAGAGAGAGAAGGAAGGAGAGGAGGGAGAAAAAGAGAGGAAAGAUGAAAGGGAGGUGCGGCGGCUGACAGGAGAGAGGGUCAUCGGCCAGCGCCGGAGAGGACGGGCCCGACCUGGACGCGACUUGUUUCCCUAAAUCAUGCCUUUUGUGUUGCAGUCUAAUUUCAAUCGAUUCGUCUCCUUCCUCACGCCUCGGAGCACGCUGCAGCCUGCAGGCGGAGUGGCAGCUAGGGUUGAGGCGGAGGGCGGAGCUCCGCCAAAGAUCCGACCCCCUCGCACGCGGCACAACCAAACCCUAACCGCCUGAUCCCAAUGCGCAGGGACCUCGGCAGCGAGGCAUUAGUGCGCCGGCACCGCGCACGGGCGCAGCUGUGGGUCGCGGUCGCGGCGCUUACCGGCACCAUCUGGCUCUUGUCCUCUUCCUCCGUUGUCCUCUUCGGCACCCACAGGGUCCAGGUGAUUUAGUUGUGUGAUGUUUGUUCUGCUUGGCGUUUUAGGGAAGGCCGAUAGCAAUGCCAUGAGAGUUAAAGUGAAGGCUAAGAUGCUAUGGCUAUGCAGGUGUCGGUGCUAUAUAACCAAGGCACUUCACAGAGCAAAUCUCUAAUGGAACUUUUAAAACAAGUUAAUAAUAUUUAACAAAUACAGACUCCUUGGUAAAGAGGUCGAAAGCAAGAUGGUAAACUGUAUCCAAUGCAGAACCACCUAAUAUGGGUACAAAGUAUUACUACCGAUAGGCUUAUUACCUGCAGACAGUGGCAAGUUGCGAUAGUUCUUUCCAAAAUUGUGUAAGAUCCAACUUCUCCAUAACUAUUAGUUUGCUUAAUCAGCACCCAAGGAUGUAACUUAAUGUUCCUAUGGAAAUUUGAGAAAUGUAAACAAUCAGUUUACUGCAUUAUAUAUAGUACUCACUCCGUAUCACAAUAUAAGAUGUUUUUGCAAGCAAAAACAACUUGCAGAAACAUCUUAUAUUGUGGGAGGGAGUAGGCCUGUAAACAUUGAAAUCAUGCUGGCUGCCAGAUUACGACAUAAAUAUAAGGACAUUUAUAAAAUUGACAACUAACACAUGAUGUUUCAUAACCUCAAGUUUUGCCAGCUGUGGGCUGUUAGGGAAUUGAUGCAUCACCACUGCUUAUUAAUCCUAAUGAAAAAGACUAGAGUAAGAAAAUUGAUAAAUAAAUAUUAAAAUUAAGCCAGCACAAAGUAUGGUCCUAUCCAUCAUGUUCUGCGACAUAAUAUUUGAUGGAUAAGAAAUAAUGUUACUCCGAAAAAGAAAUGCACCAAUUUUCUUAGAUAAAUUUUUGGUGCAUCACUUAUAUUAUCAGUUUCAAUUCAUUUGACAUAUAGAUUAGUUUAUGCUAAAUGUAUGGAAUUGAAUUGGAUAUACAAUGGUCAUUUAAUUUUUUACCAAAUUAUAUCUUGUACUGACAUGAGUGCUACUACUCAAGGAUUUUGUUGUAGAUGAGUUGUGGAGAACUGCAGAUUCAAAUCGUUGGAGAGCAUCUUUUGCACCACACACCUAUUGGCCUCCCCCACCAACUGAAUCCGAGAGCAAUGGGUACUUGCGUGUCCGAUGCAAUGGUGGCUUGUCCCAACAACGAAGUGCAAUAUGUAAUGCUGGCGCUCUAUCCAUGGAUUCCGGCAUUAGCUCGAAACGCUCAGGACAAAUUAGGUCUCGGCCAAUGGUGGAGAAGACGGAGUACAGGGAUGAGCCGCUCGAGCACGGUUUGAUGGGAUGUUCGCGCGCAAGAUGCAGAAGUUCGCUAGAAGGAAAAAGAGCUGGGCGUCGAGGAGGAGAAGAAGGUGGUAUGCAAGGUGCUUGCAGGCCCAGCAGCAGGAGGCCGUCCUUGAGGUGCUCCUCUGGAUGGUUCAUUCCGGCGCUGGGCCUACGUGUUCAAUGCUGCCCUCACCAUCCCCUUCUUCCAUUGGCUCAUCGGCCCGUCAGAGUUCAAAGAUCUAAUACUCCGCACUGCCUCCUGUCCAUUUUCAGAUAUAUAUAUUUAUAUAAGGUUUAUCGUCACCCCAUGUAUCAUAUGUUGUUGAUCGACCAGGUUAUUGAGGUGGAGGUCAACGGGGUGAGGCAGAGAAGUGGAGUGCUCAUAAAGAAACGAAGCUGCCUGGACUCGCUGCUGCCGCCGCCUCAGUCGCUUUCGCCUAGGCAUCCCGUCGCUAGCAAGGAGCAACUGUUGCUAUUGGGACUGGUGCUUGUGUAGUUGUUGCAGCUGUUCUUGAGGGCCGAGCUGAACAUAUUUGAAAAAGGAUAUUCUGACACCUAAUAAGGAUCAAGAAAACAACAAAGAUGCUAAGAGGCAACCUUUUGGGGUUAAUGAUAUAAACAACAACAGGGCUUAUGAGACCGAAGAGAGCUCAAGUGGUGUCUUUUGAUUCUUGAAGGCCUGCACUUUCCUGGUGGAGUAGCAACAAAAUAAUUCAGAGGCUUUAAAGCUAAUGCACUUCACGUAGUUAGGAUCAAUUCUUUGUUUCGGUUUGAAAUACUCCCCAGUUCCUCCUAUUUGAUUGAGUCAUCUGAUGGACAUUUUGUCAGGCAAAUAUUAGGCAAAGGAUAUGUACCUUUUUUUUAAUAUAGAAGGGUCUAAUUCUUAUCGUGUGUACUUGCUCAAACAAAAGAUUAUUGAAAAUAUGUAUAUUUUCAACCCGAUGUGGUUUUGAAUUAGACUCCACGCUACCAAAGUAAAAUGUGCAUGUACAUCUUAUUGUAGACAACAAACCUAUAUUAACUGAAGGGGAUUAAAUUUGUUACUGAUUUUUAUCG
RNAcentral lists this ribosomal RNA (3041 nucleotides) under Triticum aestivum (bread wheat). RNAcentral's name for it is "partial small subunit ribosomal RNA". The record is from RNAcentral. Lineage: Eukaryota; Viridiplantae; Streptophyta; Magnoliopsida; Poales; Poaceae.